RNAcentral lists this non-coding RNA (28 nucleotides) under Homo sapiens (human). Lineage: Eukaryota; Metazoa; Chordata; Mammalia; Primates; Hominidae. The record is from RNAcentral.
UAACACUGAAGGCGGGUUUCCCAAGUGU